AGAUUGAACGCUGGCGGCAUGCCUAACACAUGCAAGUCGAACGGGAGUAGCAAUACUCUAGUGGCGGACGGGUGAGGAAUACGUAGGAAUUUGCCCUUAAGUGGGGGAUAACCCGGGGAAACCCGGAUUAAUACCGCAUGACCUCGAAAGAGCAAAGUGGGGGAUCGCAAGACCUCACGCUUUUGGAGAAGCCUACGUCGGAUUAGCUAGUUGGUGAGGUAAUGGCUCACCAAGGCGACGAUCCGUAACUGGUCUGAGAGGAUGAUCAGUCACACCGGAACUGAGACACGGUCCGGACUCCUACGGGAGGCAGCAGUGGGGAAUAUUGGACAAUGGGGACGCAAAGCCUGG
Molecule: ribosomal RNA, 351 nt
Filed under: uncultured soil bacterium
Lineage: Bacteria
Description: bacterial SSU rRNA
Rfam family: Bacterial small subunit ribosomal RNA
Source: RNAcentral